GAUGAACGCUGGCGGCGUGCCUAAUACAUGCAAGUCGAGCGAACAGACGAGGAGCUUGCUCCUCUGACGUUAGCGGCGGACGGGUGAGUAACACGUGGAUAACCUACCUAUAAGACUGGGAUAACUUCGGGAAACCGGAGCUAAUACCGGAUAAUAUAUUGAACCGCAUGGUUCAAUAGUGAAAGACGGUUUUGCUGUCACUUAUAGAUGGAUCCGCGCCGCAUUAGCUAGUUGGUAAGGUAACGGCUUACCAAGGCGACGAUGCGUAGCCGACCUGAGAGGGUGAUCGGCCACACUGGAACUGAGACACGGUCCAGACUCCGACGGGAGGCAGCAGUAGGGAAUCUUCCGCAAUGGGCGAAAGCCUGACGGAGCAACGCCGCGUGAGUGAUGAAGGUCUUCGGAUCGUAAAACUCUGUUAUUAGGGAAGAACAAAUGUGUAAGUAACGAUGCACGUCUUGACGGUACCUAAGCAGAAAGCCACGGCUAACUACGU
Molecule: ribosomal RNA, 496 nt
Filed under: uncultured bacterium
Lineage: Bacteria
Description: partial 16S ribosomal RNA
Rfam family: Bacterial small subunit ribosomal RNA
Source: RNAcentral